This 264-nucleotide ribosomal RNA is filed under the name uncultured bacterium. RNAcentral describes it as "partial 16S ribosomal RNA". It matches the Rfam family "Bacterial small subunit ribosomal RNA", at positions 92 to 354 of the family's 1533-position model. The record is from RNAcentral.
UGAGUGGCGGACGGGUGAGUAACGCGUGGGCAACCUGGCCUGUACAGGGGGAUAACACUUAGAAAUAGGUGCUAAUACCGCAUAACGGGGGAAGCCGCAUGGCUUUUCCCUGAAAACUCCGGUGGUACAGGAUGGGCCCGCGUCUGAUUAGCCAGUUGGCAGGGUUUUAACGGCCUACCAAAGCGACGAUCAGUAGCCGGCCUGAGAGGGCGGACGGCCACACUGGGACUGAGACACGGCCCAGACUCCUACGGAAGGCAGCAG